UCCUUGGAGGACUAGUGGUUAGGCCUUGGCGCUCUCUCCGCCACGGCCUAGGUUUGAUUCCUGGUCAGGGAA
Molecule: transfer RNA, 72 nt
Filed under: Pangasianodon gigas (Mekong giant catfish)
Lineage: Eukaryota; Metazoa; Chordata; Actinopteri; Siluriformes; Pangasiidae
Description: tRNA-Glu
Source: RNAcentral